RNAcentral lists this ribosomal RNA (1583 nucleotides) under Staphylococcus aureus. Its description in RNAcentral is "partial 23S ribosomal RNA". It matches the Rfam family "Bacterial large subunit ribosomal RNA", at positions 1 to 1581 of the family's 2925-position model. The record is from RNAcentral. Lineage: Bacteria; Bacillati; Bacillota; Bacilli; Caryophanales; Staphylococcaceae.
AGAUUAAGUUAUUAAGGGCGCACGGUGGAUGCCUUGGCACUAGAAGCCAAUGAAGGACGUUACUAACGACGAUAUGCUUUGGGGAGCUGUAAGUAAGCUUUGAUCCAGAGAUUUCCGAAUGGGGAAACCCAGCAUGAGUUAUGUCAUGUUAUCGAUAUGUGAAUACAUAGCAUAUCAGAAGGCACACCCGGAGAACUGAAACAUCUUAGUACCCGGAGGAAGAGAAAGAAAAUUCGAUUCCCUUAGUAGCGGCGAGCGAAACGGGAAGAGCCCAAACCAACAAGCUUGCUUGUUGGGGUUGUAGGACACUCUAUACGGAGUUACAAAGGACGACAUUAGACGAAUCAUCUGGAAAGAUGAAUCAAAGAAGGUAAUAAUCCUGUAGUCGAAAAUGUUGUCUCUCUUGAGUGGAUCCUGAGUACGACGGAGCACGUGAAAUUCCGUCGGAAUCUGGGAGGACCAUCUCCUAAGGCUAAAUACUCUCUAGUGACCGAUAGUGAACCAGUACCGUGAGGGAAAGGUGAAAAGCACCCCGGAAGGGGAGUGAAAUAGAACCUGAAACCGUGUGCUUACAAGUAGUCAGAGCCCGUUAAUGGGUGAUGGCGUGCCUUUUGUAGAAUGAACCGGCGAGUUACGAUUUGAUGCAAGGUUAAGCAGUAAAUGUGGAGCCGUAGCGAAAGCGAGUCUGAAUAGGGCGUUUAGUAUUUGGUCGUAGACCCGAAACCAGGUGAUCUACCCUUGGUCAGGUUGAAGUUCAGGUAACACUGAAUGGAGGACCGAACCGACUUACGUUGAAAAGUGAGCGGAUGAACUGAGGGUAGCGGAGAAAUUCCAAUCGAACCUGGAGAUAGCUGGUUCUCUCCGAAAUAGCUUUAGGGCUAGCCUCAAGUGAUGAUUAUUGGAGGUAGAGCACUGUUUGGACGAGGGGCCCCUCUCGGGUUACCGAAUUCAGACAAACUCCGAAUGCCAAUUAAUUUAACUUGGGAGUCAGAACAUGGGUGAUAAGGUCCGUGUUCGAAAGGGAAACAGCCCAGACCACCAGCUAAGGUCCCAAAAUAUAUGUUAAGUGGAAAAGGAUGUGGCGUUGCCCAGACAACUAGGAUGUUGGCUUAGAAGCAGCCAUCAUUUAAAGAGUGCGUAAUAGCUCACUAGUCGAGUGACACUGCGCCGAAAAUGUACCGGGGCUAAACAUAUUACCGAAGCUGUGGAUUGUCCUUUGGACAAUGGUAGGAGAGCGUUCUAAGGGCGUUGAAGCAUGAUCGUAAGGACAUGUGGAGCGCUUAGAAGUGAGAAUGCCGGUGUGAGUAGCGAAAGACGGGUGAGAAUCCCGUCCACCGAUUGACUAAGGUUUCCAGAGGAAGGCUCGUCCGCUCUGGGUUAGUCGGGUCCUAAGCUGAGGCCGACAGGCGUAGGCGAUGGAUAACAGGUUGAUAUUCCUGUACCACCUAUAAUCGUUUUAAUCGAUGGGGGGACGCAGUAGGAUAGGCGAAGCGUGCGAUUGGAUUGCACGUCUAAGCAGUAAGGCUGAGUAUUAGGCAAAUCCGGUACUCGUUAAGGCUGAGCUGUGAUGGGGAGAAGACAUU